Molecule: long non-coding RNA, 1205 nt
Organism: Paramisgurnus dabryanus
Lineage: Eukaryota; Metazoa; Chordata; Actinopteri; Cypriniformes; Cobitidae
Source: RefSeq, a predicted model, not a curated record
UACACCGUCUGUACUAGCCACUAUUUAGCUCACAAAUAGACCGACUACGAAUAACCCACGUUUAGCUCAGAAAUAACCAUUAAUUUAAUUACAUGUGGUUUUUGCCAAAAUAACUUGUAUGGUAUGUCAUUGUAAGCAAAGUUAACAGCGAUUACAAGGUUUGUUUAAUUUCUUUAAAGUGUUUUAUGCACCGUCGUACAUAUAGCCACUAUUUAGCUCAUAAAUAGACCGACUACGAACAAACCAUGUUUAGCCCAAAAUAACCUUGAAUUUAAUAAAAUUUUGUUUUUGCCAAAAUAACUUGCAAAAAUUAUGAUAUUUUAUCAGGCAUGCAAAGACACCAGUGAAUUUAAGAUGUUUGGUUUUAUUUAUCUUAUCUGAAUAUCUGCUGUCACGCAUAACAUUCAUUAUUUGACCGUAUUUCAAAGAUAAACAAAAUCCAGUUACAACUCCGAACCGCUAGAUGGCAGCAGUACACAAACACGGGGCCAAAUCUCACGAGAAAGAUUUCCGCUGUUUGAAAAGCAACAACAUCAGCGAGCAGCCACGAGGAAAGCAUGUACCACACUUGUUUGGUCUUGUGUCAAAGCUCUGCGAAACUGGAGGGAGAAACUUGAGAGACCGUGCCGGAAGAAUGCUGGACAGAGUUCACUAAAAUUCAUUAAUUUCAAAGUUCAACAUUAAUGGUGGUGGUCCACUGCAGAAGCAAGCAUUUGAAAAAACAUCAGUUCUCAGUUAUUAAAGAGCGUGAACAGGUUCUGAAGUGGCAUGCAAAACACGUUCACAGAAGAGGGGCAAAAAUUUUAUGCGUCCAAUUAUGGGCCGGAAUGAGAUUCUGGCAGUAUGAUAACCAUGCUGUGUUGAACAACUUCCCAGCAGCAACAGAACUGGAAGUGAAGGAUGCAAUGGGGGCAUUUCAAACAGGCACCAGGGAGCACGGGGGGGGGGUAUAGAAAUUAGUACAAUUAAUAAGUUGACGUGAACUGAAGAUAGUUUGUUAAUGUUUAGAUGUAAUUUCAUUUUUAAAAUUGUAUUUUGUUAUAUAUGCUUUUAUUUUGUUACUGUUUUUAUUCUUUUUGUUAAAAGUAGUUUUUCUUCAUUUGGUCUUAUCUGAAUUUCUAUUGUAUUAACAAUAUUUUUUGUAAUAAAUUGCAUGAUUGCAUGUUUAUGAGAACCUUUUUUAAUGGAUUAAAAAGAAUUCUUUA